CAUAGGUUAAUGAGGCGAACCGGGGGAACUGAAACAUCUAAGUACCCCGAGGAAAAGAAAUCAACCGAGAUUCCCCCAGUAGCGGCGAGCGAACGGGGAGGAGCCCAGAGCCUGAAUCAGUGUGUGUGUUAGUGGAAGCGUCUGGAAAGGCGCGCGAUACAGGGUGACAGCCCCGUACACAAAAAUGCACAUGCUGUGAGCUCGAUGAGUAGGGCGGGACACGUGGUAUCCUGUCUGAAUAUGGGGGGACCAUCCUCCAAGGCUAAAUACUCCUGACUGACCGAUAGUGAACCAGUACCGUGAGGGAAAGGCGAAAAGAACCCCGGCGAGGGGAGUGAAAAAGAACCUGAAACCGUGUACGUACAAGCAGUGGGAGCCUCUUUAUGGGGUGACUGCGUACCUUUUGUAUAAUGGGUCAGCGACUUAUAUUCUGUAGCAAGGUUAACCGAAUAGGGGAGCCGAAGGGAAACCGAGUCUUAACUGGGCGUUAAGUUGCAGGGUAUAGACCCGAAACCCGGUGAUCUAGCCAUGGGCAGGUUGAAGGUUGGGUAACACUAACUGGAGGACCGAACCGACUAAUGUUGAAAAAUUAGCGGAUGACUUGUGGCUGGGGGUGAAAGGCCAAUCAAACCGGGAGAUAGCUGGUUCUCCCCGAAAGCUAUUUAGGUAGCGCCUCGUGAAUUCAUCUCCGGGGGUAGAGCACUGUUUCGGCAAGGGGGUCAUCCCGACUUACCAACCCGAUGCAAACUGCGAAUACCGGAGAAUGUUAUCACGGGAGACACACGGCGGGUGCUAACGUCCGUCGUGAAGAGGGAAACAACCCAGACCGCCAGCUAAGGUCCCAAAGUCAUGGUUAAGUGGGAAACGAUGUGGGAAGGCCCAGACAGCCAGGAUGUUGGCUUAGAAGCAGCCAUCAUUUAAAGAAAGCGUAAUAGCUCACUGGUCGAGUCGGCCUGCGCGGAAGAUGUAACGGGGCUAAACCAUGCACCGAA
Molecule: ribosomal RNA, 992 nt
Filed under: Escherichia coli
Lineage: Bacteria; Pseudomonadati; Pseudomonadota; Gammaproteobacteria; Enterobacterales; Enterobacteriaceae
Description: partial 23S ribosomal RNA
Rfam family: Bacterial large subunit ribosomal RNA
Source: RNAcentral